UUUUAGCCCCUAUAGAAGUGGAAAUCUUUUUAUCUGCCAAAGAGAAAAAAGAUUGAAACGGAUUGCUUCGC
This 71-nucleotide small RNA is filed under the name Flavobacterium araucananum. RNAcentral's name for it is "Flavo-1 RNA". The record is from RNAcentral. Lineage: Bacteria; Pseudomonadati; Bacteroidota; Flavobacteriia; Flavobacteriales; Flavobacteriaceae.